GAUGAACGCUGGCGGCGUGCCUAAUACAUGCCAGUCGAGCGAACAGACGAGGAGCUUGCUCCUCUGACGUUAGCGGCGGACGGGUGAGUAACACGUGGAUAACCUACCUAUAAGACUGGGAUAACUUCGGGAAACCGGAGCUAAUACCGGAUAAUAUAUUGAACCGCAUGGUUCAAUAGUGAAAGACGGUUUUGCUGUCACUUAUAGAUGGAUCCGCGCCGCAUUAGCUAGUUGGUAAGGUAACGGCUUACCAAGGCAACGAUGCGUAGCCGACCUGAGAGAGUGGUCGGCCACACUGGAACUGAGACAGGGUCCAGACACCUACGGGAGGCAGCAGUAGGGAAUCUUCGGCAAUGGGCGAAAGCCUGACGGAGCAACGCCGCGUGAGUGAUGAAGGUCUUCGGAGCGUAAAACUCUGUUAUUAGGGAAGAACAAAUGUGUAAGUAACUAUGCACGUCUUGACGGUACCUAAUCAGAAAGCCACGGCUAACUACGUG
RNAcentral lists this ribosomal RNA (497 nucleotides) under uncultured bacterium. Its description in RNAcentral is "partial 16S ribosomal RNA". It matches the Rfam family "Bacterial small subunit ribosomal RNA", at positions 28 to 507 of the family's 1533-position model. The record is from RNAcentral.